This is a long non-coding RNA of Schistocerca piceifrons (Central American locust), 1048 nucleotides long. RefSeq lists it as uncharacterized. NCBI's taxonomy places the organism in Eukaryota, Metazoa, Arthropoda, Insecta, Orthoptera, Acrididae. The transcript has 4 exons. The record is from RefSeq and is a predicted model, not a curated record.
CUGUUCUGUACCAUCAUGAAUAUUUCUGUGGUGAAUACAUUAGUAAUAUAUUCAACACUGACAGAAAAUUGAAGAGUCACGUUUUUGCUUCAAGUCUGCACAAUGGUAGUUGAUGAGACCAUAUCUGAAGAGACAGCUAUCAACCCACACUUUCCACAGGAGGCAUGUUCAUUUUGAAAUCUGCAACAAAAAGUGCACCAUACACAUGACAGGAUCAAUGUAAUAUCUCCUCUACCACAAAUUUGCAUCUCAGAUGUGUUGGACUCACAGGAAACUGCACCAAAUACAGUUUGUUUUCCAUAUAUCUGGACAAAACCAGUUUUUGCCUGCCCAAGUUUACCUUAACUAUAGCCCACUGUGUAGCCGAGCAGUCAGGGGCGUGUUGUCACGGUUCGUGCAGCUGCCCCCAUCGGAGGUUUGAGUCCUCCCUCAGAAUAUACCAUGGAAUAUCUACCACCACUUUCCAGAACUUCACAUCCAUACUUGCAGAGAAUACUGUACAUAGCAAAGGAGUACUGUGGUAUAAGGGUACUCUGUUGAUGGAAGGAACUGAACCUCUACAAAAUGGCAACUCUUCAAGGCAAGGCACAAUGUGUGUCCUGGUUAACUGAGACUCAAUGAAAUUUCAGAACGAAGUAUGGAAGAGAUCCACCACUGCGCCCUUCAAUCUGUGCAUGGCACAAAAAAUUUAUAGAGACAGGUACAGUGUUAGAUAAAGGGAGGAGCGGGUGACCAAGAACAUCCGAGAAAAACAUCGAUCACGUUUUAAACACUUUCACUCGUUCACCUACGAAGUCUAUCUGCACUGCUGCUAGACAGCUGCAACUACCACGUUCAACAAUACAUAAGGUCCUCCACAAGAACUUAUGGUUGUACACUUACAAAGAGCAACUGUUACAACACUUGAGCCAAAUGAGAGCCAAAAUGGACAGAGUUUUCACUCAACAUGCUGGAACGCCUUUCAGAGGAUGAAGCAUUCCUCAAGCAAGUUAGUUUCAGUGAUGAGGCAACUUUUCAUGUUUCUGGGACAUUAAACAGACACUAUGUG